Molecule: long non-coding RNA, 1368 nt
Filed under: Homo sapiens (human)
Lineage: Eukaryota; Metazoa; Chordata; Mammalia; Primates; Hominidae
Description: long intergenic non-protein coding RNA 635
Source: RNAcentral
GGUCUCUUCAGCAUAGCAACAGCAGCGUAGCUGAACAUCUUACGGAUGGCCCAGGGCUCCAAAGGCUCGUUUCCUAAGUGAGAGAGAGCCUGGCUGAAGCUGUAUUACCAUUCAUUCUCCAGCCUCCGAAGUCUCAAAGCAUCACUUCCACCAUACUCUAACUGUCAAGACAAACACAAAGGCCCAGAAACUGCCAGACUGUCUUCUGAAGUGGCUAUAAUAUUUACACUCCCAUCAGCAGUGUAGAAGGGGUCUCACUAUGUUGUCUGGAGUGCUGUGGUGGAGUGGAGUGGCUAUUCACAGAGCCUGUUCUGCUGGGACACAGAAUCACUUGCUCCAUCUCAUACAUUGAUGAUGAUUAAUUUGUAUGUGUACCUUCCAAAAAAGAUGGUUGUGUUUGAAUGGAGGCCUUCUGGACAGGAAAAUUGCAAAGUACAAUUAACAUUUGAGUCUGUCUGAGUCAUGAAGAAAUGGAGAUUACUGAAAAUAAUUCAUUUUGGUAUCUUCUUACAUCCUGAGAGACUAAUCUUUCCAAGUUCAUCUGAGGCUCCUCUUCUCCAUGACAACCUCAUCCAGGGAUUUCUUCCUGUCCUGGUGUUUUAUGACAUCAUCCUCAUCUCGCUUGUAAGGAUAAUAGCCUUCCUCCAAACCUCACACACUUUUGGAGGAGAUCACUUUUUUUAAAGUGCAUGGAAAUGUUUUGAAACAGUGAAAUCUAUAAUGAUAGGUUUCAUAAUUCUAACAUCCACACCAUAUGAAUCACAUCCUUCCUGAGAUAAUGAGCACACAAUUGCCUGGAUACCUGAAGGAAUGGAGACAGCGGCAGAAAACACUGCAGAGAGGUGGAAACAUCCGUUAAUAUUUUAAAAUCCCAUUACUGCUACCAACAAUAAUAAUGGAUGCAUAGAAAUAGAUCUGGAUUAGCUGAGCUUGAAACAGUCCAUCUCACACACACACAAAAGAAUUUCAGGUAAUGAAGAAAAGAAAAGGAAAAAAAUAACACAUGGCCUCUGUAACAUUGUUGCUUUUGAACCUUAUUGGAUUUGUGGCAAACUGGGUGCUUUUGGGACAUGAGUCUCCUACCACUCACCUGCCUCUGAGCUCUCCUCUGAGGCCGGUCACUGCCCAGAAGGGAUGCACCUGUCUUCUGUCCUGUGGUCUCUGGGUAGCCCCUGGGUCAGCAUUUUGGGUGCUAGCAUCUGAUGCAACUGCUACAGUUGCUGAUGAGAAAGUAGCUACCCUCCUCCACUCCACCCCUGCCGCCCAGGCCCUGCCACUCCUGCUAACCUGUCAGGCUACAUUUUCAAUUACUGGCUUUGAAAAAUGUCCAGGUGGAUUAAAUCAAUGAAUGCGAUGAGCUGAACACAA